AGUGAACGCUGGCGGUAGGCCUAACACAUGCAAGUCGAACGGCAGCACAGUAAGAGCUUGCUCUUACGGGUGGCGAGUGGCGGACGGGUGAGGAAUACAUCGGACUCUACUUUUUCGUGGGGGAUAACGUAGGGAAACUUACGCUAAUACCGCAUACGACCUACGGGUGAAAGCAGGGGAUCUUCGGACCUUGCGCGAUUGAAUGCGCCGAUGUCGGAUUAGCUAGUUGGCGGGGUAAAGGCCCACCAAGGCGACGAUCCGUAGCUGGUCUGAGAGGAUGAUCAGCCACACUGGAACUGAGACACGGUCAAGACGCCUACGGGAGGCAGCAGUGGGGAAUAUUGGACAAUGGGCGGAAGCCUGAUCCAGCCAUACCGCGUGGGUGAAGAAGGCCUUCGGGGUGUAAAGACCUUUUGUUGGGAAAGAAAAGCAGCAGGUUAAGACCCAGCUGUUCUGACGGUACCCAAAGAAUAAGCACCGGCUAACUUCGUG
Molecule: ribosomal RNA, 492 nt
Filed under: uncultured bacterium
Lineage: Bacteria
Description: partial 16S ribosomal RNA
Rfam family: Bacterial small subunit ribosomal RNA
Source: RNAcentral